CCUACGGGAGGCAGCAGUAGGGAAUCUUUCACAAUGGGCGAAAGCCUGAUGGAGCAACGCCGCGUGCAGGAUGAAGGCCUUCGGGUUGUACACUGCUUUUAUAAGCGAGCAAUAUGAUGGUAACUUAUGAAUAAGGAUCGGCUAACUACGUGCCAGCAGCCGCGGUCAUACGUAGGAUCCGAGCAUUAUCCGGAGUGACUGGGUGUAAAGAGUUGCGUAGGUGGCAUAAUAAGUAGCUAGUGAAAUCUGGUGGCUCAACCAUUCAGACUAUUAGCUAAACUGUUAAGCUCGAGACCGUUAGGGGUAACUGGAAUUUCUAGUGUAGGAGUGAAAUCCGUAGAUAUUAGAAGGAACACCAAUAGCGUAGGCAGGUUGCUGGGACGGUUCUGACACUAAGGCACGAAAGCGUAGGGAGCAAACGGGAUUAGAUACCCCUGUAGUU
RNAcentral lists this ribosomal RNA (442 nucleotides) under uncultured bacterium. RNAcentral describes it as "partial 16S ribosomal RNA". It matches the Rfam family "Bacterial small subunit ribosomal RNA", at positions 338 to 795 of the family's 1533-position model. The record is from RNAcentral.